AUUGAACGCUGGCGGAAUGCUUUACACAUGCAAGUCGAACGGUAGAGGGGGCAACCCCUCGAGAGUGGCGAACGCGUGAGUAAUAUAUCGGAACGUGCCCAGUCGUGGGGGGUGACGUAGCGAAAGGUACGCUAAUACCGCAUACGAUCUAAGGUUGAAAGCGGGGGAUCGCAAGGCCUCCCUCCCUUGGAGGGGCCAAUAUCAGAUUAGGCAGUUGGUGGGGUAAAGGCUCACCAAGCCAACGAUCUGUAGCUGGUCUGAGAGGACGACCAGCCACACUGGAACUGUGACACGGUCCAGACUCCUACGGGAGGCAGCAGUGGGGAAUUUUGGACAAUGGACGCAAGUCUGAUCCAGCCAUUCCGCGUGCAAGAUGAAGGCCCUCGGGUUGUAAACUGCUUUUGUACGGAACGAAAAGGUCUCUCUUAAUACGGGGGGCUCAUGACGGUACCGUAAGAAUAAGCACCGGCUAACUACGUGCCAGCAGCCGCCGUAA
Molecule: ribosomal RNA, 496 nt
Filed under: uncultured bacterium
Lineage: Bacteria
Description: partial 16S ribosomal RNA
Rfam family: Bacterial small subunit ribosomal RNA
Source: RNAcentral